This 700-nucleotide ribosomal RNA is filed under the name uncultured bacterium. Its description in RNAcentral is "bacterial SSU rRNA". It matches the Rfam family "Bacterial small subunit ribosomal RNA", at positions 124 to 823 of the family's 1533-position model. The record is from RNAcentral.
ACCUACCCAUUACAGGGGGAUAACACUGAGAAAUCGGUACUAAUACCCCAUAACAUCCAGGGAGGCAUCUUCUUGGGUUGAAAACUCCGGUGGUAAUGGAUGGGCAUGCGUUGUAUUAGUUAGUUGGUGGGGUAACGGCUCACCAAGACGACGAUACAUAGGGGGACUGAGAGGUUAACCCCCCACAUUGGUACUGAGACACGGACCAAACUCCUACGGGAGGCAGCAGUGAGGAAUAUUGGUCAAUGGACGCAAGUCUGAACCAGCCAUGCCGCGUGCAGGAAGACGGCUCUAUGAGUUGUAAACUGCUUUUGUACGAGGGUAAACGCAGAUACGUGUAUCUGUCUGAAAGUAUCGUACGAAUAAGGAUCGGCUAACUCCGUGCCAGCAGCCGCGGUAAUACGGAGGAUUCAAGCGUUAUCCGGAUUUAUUGGGUUUAAAGGGUGCGUAGGCGGUCGGAUAAGUUAGAGGUGAAAUCCCGGGGCUCAACUUCGGAAUUGCCUCUGAUACUGUUCGGCUAGAGAGUAGUUGCGGUAGGCGGAAUGUAUGGUGUAGCGGUGAAAUGCUUAGAGAUCAUACAGAACACCGAUUGCGAAGGCAGCUUACCAAGCUACUUCUGACGUUGAGGCACGAAAGCGUGGGGAGCAAACAGGAUUAGAUACCCUGGUAGUCCACGCAGUAAACGAUGAUAACUCGUUGU